RNAcentral lists this long non-coding RNA (4747 nucleotides) under Setaria italica (foxtail millet). RNAcentral describes it as "long non-coding RNA (SITA_LNC002804)". Lineage: Eukaryota; Viridiplantae; Streptophyta; Magnoliopsida; Poales; Poaceae. The record is from RNAcentral.
AACUUUAUACUCAGGUUUUACACGGCCUUGGGCCCACCUCACAACAACCUUUCCCACCGAAUAAGCGCCAGCUCAGAAAUCACGCACAACACCCUCGCCACCAAGUCUGACGCUCGUCCGAUGAUAACACGAACGGUAGCACGUCCAGCACCCUUCAAUUAUUUCUGCAACAUCAGCACACCCUCUUUGCCUUCGUCUUCAGUCAGUGUAUUUAGCUUGCCAUGGCCCUCAAGGACAUGACAGAAGGAAGUCCGCCUCUCGUUCGCCCGUUUUCACCCGCUCAGCACUGUAGGAGAGCUAGCUGUUGUACACCUGUUUGCGGGCACUGGUUCUGAUUGAUCUAUAAUCAGAAUAUCAAAUCCGCAUCCUCAUAAAAAACUGCCUUCGUGUUGAAAUAUUAUCGCUGCUGUAAAAAAUUGUGUAAGUAUACUGCAUUUUAUUUGUGACUUACUUUAUUAUGAAAGGUAUUUUAAACAUAAUUUAUUUUUACGAUAAUAACGAUUAAUAUUUCGAGUAAGUAAUAAUUAAGCGGGAAACUGAAGACUAAGAAUCGGGCUACGAUCGACUCGGUUCCAUCUCUCUGUUUUCGGGGUCCACUGUCACCUUUUCAGGGAGCUGGUCAUGCUACCGUCUACAGUUCUACACUCUACACCCGUGCACGGACGGGACUCUCCCUCCAUUCUCAGCCGCCUACCGACUUUGUCAGCGCUCUGCCAGACUGCCAAGUGCGAACGCUCCUCUUCAAGGCUUCCUCAAGUGUCCAAGUGCUGCCAACCAUAUCUUCCCGAGCGUGGCUACUUGCUCCGGGCCCGCGAUCGUCGUGUCUCCAUCGCCAGCCGCGCAUCCCCCUGCCUCCGACAAGAUCCCAAAUCCACGCUCCCGGCCGGCGGAAUGCCGGCCGAGCGCGUCGACGUCGCGGUCACCUCGCGGACGCUGGUGCGGGCGUCCGACCCGCCGCGGGGCUUCCCGGCCGUGCUCCCGGCCUCCAACCUCGACCUCAUCCUCGGCUCGUUCCACACCUACCUCGUCGCCGUCUACCCGGCCCCGGCCGCGGGCUUCCCCGCGGUGGCCGCGGCCGCGAGCGCCGCGCUGCCGGCCUUCCUCUCCCGGUUCUUCCCCUUCGCCGGCCGCGUCGUCACCAACGCCUCCACGGGCGUCCCCGAGAUCGCCUGCGACAACGCCGGCGCGGAGCUCGUGGUGGCGGAGGCCGCGGCGAGGCUGGCGGACGUCGAUUUCGCCGACGCCGACCGCUCGCUCGCCCGCGUCGCCGUGCCGUUCCGCCAGGGCCUCGCGCUGUCGCUGCAGCUCGUCCGGUUCGCCUGCGGCGGGUUCGCGCUGUCGUGGGGCACCGACCACCUCCUCGCCGACGGCCACGGCCUCACGAUGCUGCCCAACGCGUGGGCGGAGCUCCUCCGCACCGGGGGCCUCUCGUGGGAGCCCCACCACGAGCGGGCGUCGCUCUUCCGCCCCCGCUCGCCGCCGCGGUUCAGCCCGUCGCUGGACGCCGAGUUCACGCGGUACGCGCCGGCGGGGCUCCCCAACACCCUCCUGACGGCUGCCCUCGUGCGCCGCAACUACGUGGUCUCCGCCGCCGACGUCGCCCGCCUCCGCACCGCGGCCAGCACCCCCGCCCGCCGCGCCACCCGGCUCGAGGCCCUGUCCGCGCACGUCUGGAAGCUGCUCGCCGCGGCGGUGGGCGGGUCCGACACCCACUGCCGCAUGGCGUGGCUCGUCGACGGGCGGCCCCGCCUCGACCCCGCCAGGUACGACGCGGGCACCGUGCGCCGGUACCUCGGCAACGUGUUGACGUACGCGUCGCGGGAGGCGGCCGUGGAGGCCGUGUCGUCGGCGACGCUGGCCGAUGUGGCGGCGAUGGCGGGCGCGGCCAUCGCGGAGGUGUUCCGGUCGGAGCGGUUCGAGGAGCUGGUAGACUGGAUGGAGGCGCGCAAGGGGGUGUUCCGAGAGGGCGGCAAGUGGACGGAGGCGGUGGGCGUGGGGACGGGGAGCCCCGCGCUGGUGGUCUCGGCGUUCGUGCCGUUCCGCGUGGAGGGGGACUUCGGGUUCGGGCGGCCGCGGCUGGUGAUGCCGUGGGUGCGGCCGGGGCGGCUGGGUUCCGCGGCCAUGACGGUGGCGCGGAGCCCGCGGGAGGACGGGUCGUGGGUGAUCACCGCCAGGCUGUGGCCGCGGCUGGCCGACGCCGUGGACGCGGACCCGGAGGCCGUGCUCAAGCCGGCCACGGCCGCGCGGCUCGGGUUCGGCGAGCCCGAGCCGGCGGCAGGCGUGGCGCAGCAUGCGAGCCGCUUGUGAGGAGUUCGGACUUCGACCGGCGGGUCUCCCCGGGCUGUGCCGUGGAGGGAUGCCGUGUGAGAAUUGAGAUGUGGCGCCGACACGUUGUACUGUCUCAAUUCUUGUCGACGCCAGCUCGAGACAAAGUAUUUUGGAUCUACUGCUAGCCCUUGUUUAAGCCUUGUAACAAGUUGCCUAACUUUGGGGUGUCCAAAUUACUGUAGCGACACUGUAGCGUUUCGUUUGUACUUGUAAAUUAUUGUCCAAAUAUUGACUAAUUAGGCUCAAAAGAUUCGUCUCGCAAAGUACAACAAAACUGUGCAAUUAAUUUUUGAUUUCGUCUACAUUCAGUACUUCAUGCAUGUACCGCAAGUACUGUCUCAAUUCUUGUCGACGCCAGCUCGAGACAAGUAUUUUGGAUCUACUACUAGUUGAAUUACUUUUCCUUUAUUUUUUCUUCUGCCGAUCGUUGUGGCAAGUUUCAGUUGGGUCCAACACACGUAGCUGUGAGACUAUCUAGACCGAAGUAAUCCUGGUCACCUUUUUUUCCAGAGUUGAAUUAUUCCACUCCCAAUGGUAGGCGAAAAGAAAUUCAUUUUCAUAGGAAGCAUCGAAUAGCGACUUUUCCGUUGGAUACGGGAGCACUCGUUGGUUCGGAACAAAUCUAGGAGCAAGCCGCCGUGGUUUACUGAGGAUGUUUAGAGUGUAUUUGGUUGAGCUGUGAUUUUUGAAAAAGUAGCUGUGGCAUGUAGAAAGGUUGUUGUGAGAUGUGGACCGUGAGAAAGUUAAAAACGGUUUGGUUUGGGUAGCUGUGAUUUUUGAGAAAACUAUUAAAUGGAUCCUACGUGUCAUCCAUAGCCCUCCCCACUCAACUCUCUCCCCUCUCUUACUGACGAGCUGACCUCGCUCGUCAGCCCCUUCUUCUUCCUCUCACUAGCCAAGGAUCAGCGGCAGUCGGGGCCUCGCCCGUGCUUGCGCCCACGGCGACGGUGGAGAGCACAACGGUGGAGGAGGAGGAUCGCGCCGGAGGAGCCCGCGUGGCGGCAGAGGCGCUCGGGGCAGAGGAACUCGCAGCGGGACGGAGGAGGCUUAGGGCGGAGGAGCUCGUGGCGGAGGAGGGGGAGGCUCGGGGUGGAGGAGGAGCUCACGGCGACGGAGGAGCUCGGGGUGGAGGGGGCUCGGGGCGGUGGCGGAGGAGGAGCUCGCGACGGAGGGGGCUCGGGGUGGAGGAGCUCGCGGCGGCGGAGGUCGCCCGCGCCCACGGCGGCAGAGGAGGUCGCGAGCUUCUUUUUCGUCGGGGCGUGUGACGAAUUGGUAUCCUCACUUAGGAGUAGCAAGCGGGUAAAUAAACUGAAGUUUCUCCUCCCACAGCCGGUGAAAGUAGAUCCGAAUCGGCUUUCACAUUCCUACUACGAAGAAAGUUACUUUUGGACAAAGCUAGACUGCCUCCUUGUGCUCUUUGGUUGACUUUGAGUUUUUGGGAAGCAAAAGCAAAAGCAGCCCUAAAAGCCUAACCAAAUGUAACCUUAACUAUUUACCAUUUUUACGAUUAACUAUUUUGACACUCCUUGACAAGUCAUUAUUAGAACGGCUCCUGGACGAAAUUACCAUUUGCUGACGUGGCAAGCCACGUGCCCUUACCUAUGCCAUCCGUUCCCCUCUCUCCUACCACUGACGUGUGGGGCAGGUUCACCUUCAACCUCUCGACGUCCCAGCACUAGCAAGCGGCAAUGGCGGCCCUGCUAAUGGCUGCGCCACAUCAGGGUGGCAACGGAGUGGGGCCAGGUCCUCGUCGGGUCCGUGCAAGCGCUAGCGCAAAAAUCCCCUCCGCAGACAUCCCAAGGGACAAACACAGAACACAUGCAUAAGCCAAUCCGCAAGAAUUUGAGAAGAAGCCACUUCAGAGUUCGUUCAAAAAUUAUGGCACGAAAUAAUUAAACAAAGCAUCGGUAACAUGCUAGCUUAAGAAAGCACGUGGAUUCAAAGAAUCUCGGCGACGACGGCUUCCUUGCCUCAGAUUUGAACGACGGACGACGGCAACGACGACUCGAUGAGGGCCUGUGGCAACGGCGCCGCCCAUGCCGCGUCCGUCGGCGCAUCACCCUUUGCCUGAUUGUGGUUGUCGCAUCUGCAGGAACGGAGGGGAUGGAGGCCUGGCCUGUGGCCUCACGGCGGCGCCGGCAACGAAGGCGUCGUGAUGGGGCCGAGAGUGGAGAGGCUAUGUGAGCGAGAGAGCGGCGGCCGGAGCGAGGGGAGAAAGGGGACGAGCUUUCCUCAGUCGGCCGGCACGCGCGCAAGCACGGGCCGAGCGGGCGGAUGCCACCAAUCGGCCAUGCCACUUGACGAGCUCAUCCCCAACGAUAGCUGAGAGGUUGAAGGUGAACAUGAUAUGUGGGUCCCACACAUCUGUGGCAGGAGAGAGGCAGGGGCAUCAUGGUCAUUUGUUCAUGCUCAGUCCACG